CAGAUAGUUUAGAACAAAGGCUUAAAAGUCACAGAGAAUGAAGUAGAUCUUUGGAGCUGGGAGUCACUGAGCAAGUUGUUACAAGGCUGCAAGUAUCUUCCACAUCACUGAGCAAGUGGAUGGAGAGAGGAAAGACACCUGGUGAAUCCCGGUGAUAAGACUGAUGAUUGGAAAUAAAAUUUGCCAUGAAAUGGGACAAGCAUACUCCAGUAUGACUGCAUCACAAUUAAUUGCAUCUGCAAUGACCUUAUUCCCAAAUAAAGUCACAUUCUGAGGGGAAAUGUAGGAAUGAGCCAUCAUGAAACGAUGCCAGAGGCUGGAGAGCCUGGAUACAUUGACACAAUUGGGGGAUGAAUGAUUUAUUACAAUUCAAUUCCAGGGCAGCCCAGUCUACAGCUCCCCAGGAAGCAUCUCUAAAGGUGCUACUUGUUAAUCAUCACCAUACGAAAGGCGGGGGGGAUUGCUUUCAUCUGUGGCUUUUAUGAGACCAUCCAGCUAUUCUUCAGAGCCAGUUUCUCAUCAAAAAUGGGGUUUAUUACUACAAAAGUUAAAGACCUUAGUACACAUUUUGGUAAACAUAGAUUGAUAUCCCCUAGCAGGAAUCAAGAGAACAGAUUUCAUUUACUGAAAGGUUACCAGGCAUUGUGCUAAGGGCUCUACAUGGCUUCUUUCCAUUUAAUCCCCCAAACAACUCUAUGAAGUCGUGUGCCAGGUAAUCAAUGUAUCCUUCUCAGGUCCAAAUUCACCCUUCAGUACCUGCUCUGCCAUAAUGACGUGUAAAGCAUUUGUCCUUUACAUUGAGCGCCACGAUAAGCUUUGUCAGUAGAGGGCGCUGGAGAGACAUCACGGGAGGACGCCGCUUCUCUUCCUGGUUCUGGCCCGCUCUUUUGCUUGGUUUGCUCCACCUGCUUUGUAAAGCGUCCUCCUGUGCAUAUGUGAGGACAUCCAGUGGCAUUCUGCUCCACCCAGGCUCCCAGAGUGCCCAGUCCCUCAGCCACUUUGCAGCCCUGCUGGGGGCCCAGUGACCACCUUGCUGUGGCCUUCCUGUUGCAAAUGCCAGUGCACCCCAGGGCUCCCCAACACGCUCCCGGCCUACCCUCCAGCCUCGGUUUGCCUGCCUCCCUGGGGAGGGCUGUUUUCCACCGCCCUACUAACAUCAACACCACGAAUCCUAGGCCAAUUGUCGCCCUGCCAGGAAGCAGAUUCUCAGCAUCCUGACUCCAUCUGCCCACUCACCUUGGCUCACCUGGACCUGGGAGGGCUGUUUCCUGCUACCAGGAAGCCCACAGACUUCACCAUCCAGUGGGUGGCACCAUGCCUUCUCCAACCUAGUCCAAACCCCAGCCUCGGGGAAGGCCUCCCCCUUCCAAGUUUGUCCUUUCUUGGGCACUUUCCCUCCACCCUGGAGGACCCUUAGAGUUCCCUUCACAUCUUCAUGGAUACUCACCUAUCAUCAUUUCAUACUUCUUUAGAUUAAAACAAUCCCUGUUCAAAUUGCUGUGUGGUUUCUGUCUCCUGAUUGGAUGCAGACAGAUACAAGUAGGUACUAUUAUUUCCAUUUUAAAGAUGAGCGAAUGAGAUUUAAAGAGGCCAAAUGGCUUAGUGAGAAUCAGAUGGGAAAUGUGGCAGAGCUGGACACAAACCCCAGGAUGGUCUGGCUCUGAAGCCUUUGAUUUGCACCUCUCUGUACAUAAACCAGGAGUUAGUGGACAGAUACCACAUAAGAAAGAGGGGUGAUCCAGCCUUCUCCCUCCCCUCUUUUCCUAUGCUUAUGUGUCCUGGGUGUUUCAGAUGAAAAUAAGGGCAAAAAAUGCAAAAAUGGGCCGGCGCAGUGGCUCAUAGCCUAUUAUUAUCCCCAUUUUACAGGUUCAGAGAGAUUAGAGCAUGAUGAUAAGAAAGCCACACCAUGUGUCCUCUCCCCAGAUGGGUUACUGACCUUACAAAUAUGCUCCAAAUGGGGUCCAGUAGGAGAAAUGCAGGUAGAUCCCUGAUUGACAUUGUUCAAGUCAGCAUCACCCUCAUUAGCGGCAAAUGAGGAUAAGCAGUAAUAAGUAGUCAGGCAGGUGCUUGGAGCCAAAGGCAGGAGGGAAAAGGACAUUAAUUAGCAAAGCCAGGCACUUUAUGCAGGUGGUCUCAUUUAAUCCUUAGAGCAAUGCUAUACAUUGGGAUUAUUCCCAUUAUACAGAUAAAGAAAAUGAGGUUCAGAGAGGUUAAGUGACUUGUUCACUUACACUUCCCACCACCGGUCAGCAGCCAACCUGAGAUUGCAGUGUAUUUUGUUUGACCUCUUUCAUCACACUGCAUUGGGACAAUCCAUUGUUUGCGGCCAGGGAUUUCAGGGUCUGAGCAACCAUACAUACAUUUAUUGAGGCCAAGACCAUGUCAACUGACAGUGAAAUAACUGUUCAAUUCAGACAAAGGGAAGGUGGGGAAAGGUCUUUAAAAAGUUAGUCCUUUUCUUUGAGAUUGGCUAAGCUGAGAUCCCCUGGGUCUACGCCCAGCCUCUGCCCCAGCCCCUCCAGGACAAGUGCUGUCCUGCCUCUGAGAGAAGAAACCAAGGACCUGCUAAUCAUCUCCAUGGGAACUGACCCAGGGGUUGGACCUCAAGGAGGCUUCAGAAUAGGCCAGUUGGAGGAAGAACAGGAACAGGCUGUGAGGCAGAAACAAGGAACAAACCUAGCCAUCCUCAAAGAACAAGAAAAAGUCACAUUUUUUUUCUAUUUCUCUUUUGACCCUAUCUUUGAAGACUACAUGCUUAAGAAGAACCACUCCG
This 2773-nucleotide long non-coding RNA is filed under the name Homo sapiens (human). RNAcentral's name for it is "HSALNT0173744". The record is from RNAcentral. Lineage: Eukaryota; Metazoa; Chordata; Mammalia; Primates; Hominidae.